GAGCUCGGGAGAUACCCGCAGCCUGACUGCGGGAACCGAAGGGGCAAGGGGCAGCUCUAAACUCUCAGGUAAAUGAACCGGGCGC
Molecule: non-coding RNA, 85 nt
Filed under: bovine gut metagenome
Description: Glycine riboswitch
Rfam family: Glycine riboswitch aptamer
About the family: This family represents the bacterial glycine riboswitch. Glycine riboswitches usually consist of two metabolite-binding aptamers domains with similar structures in tandem.
Source: RNAcentral